Molecule: ribosomal RNA, 253 nt
Filed under: uncultured bacterium
Lineage: Bacteria
Description: partial 16S ribosomal RNA
Rfam family: Bacterial small subunit ribosomal RNA
Source: RNAcentral
UACGGAGGGUGCGAGCGUUGUCCGGAAUCACUGGGCGUAAAGGGCGCGUAGGCGGCAUGCCAAGCGUGUGGUGAAAGCCCGGGGCUCAACCCCGGGUCGGCCGUGCGGACUGGCAUGCUCGAGCACUGUAGGGGCGGGUGGAAUUCCGGGUGUAGCGGUGGAAUGCGCAGAUAUUGGGAGGAACACCAGCGGCGAAGGCGGCACUCUGGGCUGGUACUGACGCUGAGGAGCGAAAGCGUGGGUAGCGAACAGG